UACAGAGGCCCCGAGCGUUAAUCGGAAUCACUGGGCUUAAAGGGUGCGUAGGCGGGUCAGUAAGCGCUUUGUGAAAUCCCACAGCUCAACUGUGGAACCGCAGGGCGAACUGCUGAUCUUGAGGAAGCUAGAGGCUGGUAGAACGAUAGGUGGAGCGGUGGAAUGCGUAGAGAUCGGGUGGAACACCAGCGGCGAAGGCGGCAUCCUGGCCCUGUACUGACGCUGAGGCGCGAUAGCGUGGGGAGCAAACGGG
RNAcentral lists this ribosomal RNA (253 nucleotides) under uncultured bacterium. Its description in RNAcentral is "partial 16S ribosomal RNA". It matches the Rfam family "Bacterial small subunit ribosomal RNA", at positions 524 to 776 of the family's 1533-position model. The record is from RNAcentral.